UACGGAGGGUGCAAGCGUUAUCCGGAUUCACUGGGUUUAAAGGGUGCGUAGGAGGGCAGGGAAGUCCGUGGUGAAAUCUCUGGGCUUAACCCAGAAACUGCCGUGGAUACUCUCUGUCUUGAAUCCCGUGGAGAUGAGCGGAAUAUGUCAUGUAGCGGUGAAAUGCUUAGAUAUGACAUAGAACACCAAUUGCGAAGGCAGCUCGUUACACGAAGAUUGACUCUGAGGCACGAAAGCGUGGGGAUCAAACAGG
This 253-nucleotide ribosomal RNA is filed under the name uncultured bacterium. RNAcentral describes it as "partial 16S ribosomal RNA". It matches the Rfam family "Bacterial small subunit ribosomal RNA", at positions 524 to 776 of the family's 1533-position model. The record is from RNAcentral.